Xylaria sp. FL0043 is the source of this 99-nucleotide non-coding RNA. The record is from the annotation of a GenBank genome assembly. NCBI's taxonomy places the organism in Eukaryota, Fungi, Ascomycota, Sordariomycetes, Xylariales, Xylariaceae.
GGCCAGGUGGCAGAGUGGCCUAAUGCGCCGCACUCGAAUUAACGUUAAAUUUGUUAUGCGGUCCCUUCGGGGGCGUCUGUUCGAAUCAGGCCCUGGUCG